GACGAACGCUGGCGGCGUGCUUAACACAUGCAAGUCGAACGGAAAGGCCCUGCUUUUGUGGGGUGCUCGAGUGGCGAACGGGUGAGUAACACGUGAGUAACCUGCCCUUGACUUUGGGAUAACUUCAGGAAACUGGGGCUAAUACCGGAUAGGAGCUCCUGCUGCAUGGUGGGGGUUGGAAAGUUUCGGCGGUUGGGGAUGGACUCGCGGCUUAUCAGCUUGUUGGUGGGGUAGUGGCUUACCAAGGCUUUGACGGGUAGGCGGCCUGAGAGGGUGACCGGCCACAUGGGGACUGAGAGACGGACCAGAAGCCUACGGGAGGCAGCAGUGGGGAAUAUUGCAGAAUGGGCGGAAGUCUGAGGCAGCAACGCCGCGUGCGGGAUGACGGCCUUCGGGUUGUAAACCGCUUUCGCCUGUGACGAAGCGUGAGUGACGGUAAUGGGUAAAGAAGCACCGGCUAACUACGUG
RNAcentral lists this ribosomal RNA (468 nucleotides) under uncultured bacterium. Its description in RNAcentral is "partial 16S ribosomal RNA". It matches the Rfam family "Bacterial small subunit ribosomal RNA", at positions 28 to 507 of the family's 1533-position model. The record is from RNAcentral.